Molecule: long non-coding RNA, 598 nt
Organism: Gorilla gorilla gorilla (western lowland gorilla)
Lineage: Eukaryota; Metazoa; Chordata; Mammalia; Primates; Hominidae
Exons: 4
Source: RefSeq, a predicted model, not a curated record
GGCACUGUUGCCAGGGCCUGAGCCCAGCAGAAAAAGGGUGUGUGCAGAGGGAGGGCCUUGGGUCCUGCUGCUCCUCCUGGACUCCUUCAUCCCAAUGCCUUCACAUCCUCCUCUGACAAGGACUCCCACGUCCCUCCCCGGCUAACCUGGAUCCUGCUCAACCCAACACCUGCCUUCUCUCAGUCCCUGGGUUCCUGCAGGCCUUGGGGCCCCACAGUCAUAUCUGCUGUUCCUGCAGCCUCCCUUGAUGAUCAGUUCCCGCCUGGGGUCACCAGGCUGCUUCAAAUUGCGGUGACCAUGGUAGGGAUGGUGACUUGAGAUUCCUGGGCCAUAAUGCAGCAGUUCCCGUCUUCCCUCUGUCCCAGCUCAGCACAGUCACAGGAACUCUCCAAAUCAUGACGCUCAAAAUGCCACAUCUAAAAAGAACAUCCGGGCUCUGCCCCUAAGAAAGUAAAUUCAUGCACCUACAAAGAGAAAGGAACGGCACAGCCAUCCACCUUUCAACUCCUGAGUUUCCAUCUGCACCCUUCAACACUUAUUAGGACUUACAUGAAACUAUGUGACAUCUUUUUAUUUCUAUUAAACAAAAUACAGCUUU